GUACAAUACUUAGUGGCAGACGGGUGAGUAACAUGUAGGUAUCUGCCCUUUGGCCUGGAAUAACACGAGGAAACUUGUGCUAAUACUGGAUAAGUCUUUACGGAGAAAGCUUUAUGCACCAUUGGAUGAGCCUGCACUUGAUUAGUUUGUUGGUGGGGUAAUGGCCUACCAAGACUGUGAUCAAUAGCUGAUUUGAGAGGAUGACCAGCCACAUUGGGACUGAGACACGGCCCAAACUCCUACGGGAGGCAGCAGUGGGGAAUCUUGCGCAAUGGAGGAAACUCUGAUGCAGCGAUGCCGCGUGAGUGAAGAAGGCCCUUGGGUUGUAAAGCUCUUUCGUCGGGGAAGAAAGUGACUGUACCCGAAUAAGAAGGUCCGGCUAACUUCGUGCCAGCAGCCGCGGUAAUACGAAGGGACCUAGCGUAGUUCGGAAUUACUGGGCUUAAAGAGUUCGUAGGUGGUUGAAAAAGUUGGUGGUGAAAUCCCAGAGCUUAACUCUGGAACUGCCAUCAAAACUUUUCAGCUAGAGUAUGAUAGAGGAAAGUAGAAUUUCUAGUGUAGAGGUGAAAUUCGUAGAUAUUAGAAAGAAUACCGAUUGCGAAGGCAGCUUUCUGGAUCAUUACUGACACUGAGGAACGAAAGCAUGGGUAGCGAAGAGGAUUAGAUACCCUCGUAGUCCAUGCCGUAAACGAUGUGUGUUAGACGUUGGAAAUUUAUUUUCAGUGUCGCAGCGAAAGCGAUAAACACACCGCCUGGGGAGUA
Molecule: ribosomal RNA, 762 nt
Filed under: uncultured marine bacterium
Lineage: Bacteria
Description: bacterial SSU rRNA
Rfam family: Bacterial small subunit ribosomal RNA
Source: RNAcentral